Molecule: ribosomal RNA, 490 nt
Filed under: uncultured bacterium
Lineage: Bacteria
Description: partial 16S ribosomal RNA
Rfam family: Bacterial small subunit ribosomal RNA
Source: RNAcentral
GAUGAACGCUAGCUACAGGCUUAACACAUGCAAGUCGCGGGGCAGCAUGGGGGUUGCUUGCAACUCCCGAUGGCGACCGGCGCACGGGUGAGUAACGCGGAUCCAAACUGCCCUUCACCACGGGAUAACCAGGCGAAAGUCGGAAUAAUACCGUAUGUUGUGCAUUGAAGGCAUACGAUUGGGACGAAAGGCUGUGCGGUGGAGGAUGGGGAUGCGUACGAUUAGCCAGACGGCGUGGUAACGGGCCACCGUGGCUACGAUCGGUAGGGGUUCUGAGAGGAAGGUCCCCCACACUGGAACUGAGACACGGUCCAGACUCCUACGGGAGGCAGCAGUGAGGAAUAUUGUUCAAUGGGCGUAAGCCUGAACCAGCCAAGUAGCGUGCAGGAUGACGGCCCUAUGGGUUGUAAACUGCUUUUAUGCGGGGAUAAAGUGGCCCACGUGUGGGCUUUUGCAGGUACCGCAUGAAUAAGGACCGGCUAAUUCCGUG